UACGUAGGUGACAAGCGUUAUCCGGAAUUACUGGGCGUAAAGCGCACGCAGGCGGCGCGCUAAGUCUGACGUGAAAUCUCUCGGCUUAACCGGGAGGGGUCGUUGGAGACUGGCGGGCUUGAGGCGAUGAGAGGGGUGUAGAAUUCCCGGUGUAGUGGUGGAAUGCGUAGAUAUCGGGAGGAAUACCAGUGGCGAAAGCGGCACCCUGGCAUUAGCCUGACGCUCAGGUGCGAAAGCGUGGGGAGCGAACGGG
This 253-nucleotide ribosomal RNA is filed under the name uncultured bacterium. Its description in RNAcentral is "partial 16S ribosomal RNA". It matches the Rfam family "Bacterial small subunit ribosomal RNA", at positions 524 to 776 of the family's 1533-position model. The record is from RNAcentral. RNAcentral also lists the same sequence under 1 other name.